This 1237-nucleotide ribosomal RNA is filed under the name Escherichia coli. RNAcentral's name for it is "partial 23S ribosomal RNA". It matches the Rfam family "Bacterial large subunit ribosomal RNA", at positions 1 to 1269 of the family's 2925-position model. Lineage: Bacteria; Pseudomonadati; Pseudomonadota; Gammaproteobacteria; Enterobacterales; Enterobacteriaceae. The record is from RNAcentral.
GGGUUGUGAGGUUAAGCGACUAAGCGUACACGGUGGAUGCCCUGGCAGUCAGAGGCGAUGAAGGACGUGCUAAUCUGCGAUAAGCGUCGGUGAGGUGAUAUGAACCGUUAUAACCGGCGAUUUCCGAAUGGGGAAACCCAGUGUGUUUCGACACACUAUCAUUAACUGAAUCCAUAGGUUAAUGAGGCGAACCGGGGGAACUGAAACAUCUAAGUACCCCGAGGAAAAGAAAUCAACCGAGAUUCCCCCAGUAGCGGCGAGCGAACGGGGAGGAGCCCAGAGCCUGAAUCAGUGUGUGUGUUAGUGGAAGCGUCUGGAAAGGCGCGCGAUACAGGGUGACAGCCCCGUACACAAAAAUGCACAUAUUGUGAGCUCGAUGAGUAGGGCGGGACACGUGGUAUCCUGUCUGAAUAUGGGGGGACCAUCCUCCAAGGCUAAAUACUCCUGACUGACCGAUAGUGAACCAGUACCGUGAGGGAAAGGCGAAAAGAACCCCGGCGAGGGGAGUGAAAAAGAACCUGAAACCGUGUACGUACAAGCAGUGGGAGCCUCUUAAUGGGGUGACUGCGUACCUUUUGUAUAAUGGGUCAGCGACUUAUAUUCUGUAGCAAGGUUAACCGAAUAGGGGAGCCGAAGGGAAACCGAGUCUUAACUGGGCGUUAAGUUGCAGGGUAUAGACCCGAAACCCGGUGAUCUAGCCAUGGGCAGGUUGAAGGUUGGGUAACACUAACUGGAGGACCGAACCGACUAAUGUUGAAAAAUUAGCGGAUGACUUGUGGCUGGGGGUGAAAGGCCAAUCAAACCGGGAGAUAGCUGGUUCUCCCCGAAAGCUAUUUAGGUAGCGCCUCGUGAAUUCAUCUCCGGGGGUAGAGCACUGUUUCGGCAAGGGGGUCAUCCCGACUUACCAACCCGAUGCAAACUGCGAAUACCGGAGAAUGUUAUCACGGGAGACACACGGCGGGUGCUAACGUCCGUCGUGAAGAGGGAAACAACCCAGACCGCCAGCUAAGGUCCCAAAGUCAUGGUUAAGUGGGAAACGAUGUGGGAAGGCCCAGACAGCCAGGAUGUUGGCUUAGAAGCAGCCAUCAUUUAAAGAAAGCGUAAUAGCUCACUGGUCGAGUCGGCCUGCGCGGAAGAUGUAACGGGGCUAAACCAUGCACCGAAGCUGCGGCAGCGACGCUUAUGCGUUGUUGGGUAGGGGAGCGUUCUGUAAGCCUGCGAAGGUGUGCUGUGAGGC